GAUGAACGCUGGCGGCGUGCCUAAUACAUGCAAGUCGAGCGAACAGACGAGGAGCUUGCUCCUCUGACGUUAGCGGCGGACGGGUGAGUAACACGUGGAUAACCUACCUAUAAGACUGGGAUAACUUCGGGAAACCGGAUCUAAUACCGGAUAAUAUAUUGAACCGCAUGGUUCAAUAGUGAAAGACGGUUUUGCUGUCACUUAUAGAUGGAUCCGCGCCGCAUUAGCUAGUUGGUAAGGUAACGGCUUACCAAGGCAACGAUGCGUAGCCGACCUGAGAGGGUGAUCGGCCACACUGGAACUGAGACACGGUCCAGACUCCUACGGGAGGCAGCAGUAGGGAAUCUUACGCAAUGGGCGAAAGCCUGACGCAGCAACGCCGCGUGAGUGAUGAAGGUCUUCGGAUCGUAAAACUCUGUUAUUAGGGAAGAACAAAUGUGUAAGUAACUAUGCCCGUCUUGACGGUACCUAAUCAGAAAGCCACGGCUAACUACGUG
This 497-nucleotide ribosomal RNA is filed under the name uncultured bacterium. RNAcentral describes it as "partial 16S ribosomal RNA". It matches the Rfam family "Bacterial small subunit ribosomal RNA", at positions 28 to 507 of the family's 1533-position model. The record is from RNAcentral.